This 863-nucleotide ribosomal RNA is filed under the name uncultured Pelagibacterales bacterium. Its description in RNAcentral is "bacterial SSU rRNA". It matches the Rfam family "Bacterial small subunit ribosomal RNA", at positions 575 to 1439 of the family's 1533-position model. Lineage: Bacteria; Pseudomonadati; Pseudomonadota; Alphaproteobacteria; Candidatus Pelagibacterales. RNAcentral also lists the same sequence under 1 other name. The record is from RNAcentral.
GUGGUUGAAAAAGUUAGUGGUGAAAUCCCAGAGCUUAACUCUGGAACUGCCAUUAAAACUUUUCAGCUAGAGUAUGAUAGAGGAAAGCAGAAUUUCUAGUGUAGAGGUGAAAUUCGUAGAUAUUAGAAAGAAUACCAAUUGCGAAGGCAGCUUUCUGGAUCAUUACUGACACUGAGGAACGAAAGCAUGGGUAGCGAAGAGGAUUCGAUACCCUCGUAGUCCAUGCCGUAAACGAUGUGUGUUAGACGUUGGAAAUUUAUUUUCAGUGUCGCAGGGAAACCGAUAAACACACCGCCUGGGGAGUACGACCGCAAGGUUAAAACUCAAAUGAAUUGACGGGGACCCGCACAAGUAGUGGAGCAUGUGGUUUAAUUCGAAGAUACGCGCAGAACCUUACCAACACUUGACAUGUUCGUCGCGACUCUAAGAGAUUAGAGUUUUCGGUUCGGCCGGACGAAACACAGGUGCUGCAUGGCUGUCGUCAGCUCGUGUCGUGAGAUGUUGGGUUAAGUCCCGCAACGAGCGCAACCCUCACUUUUAGUUGCCAUCAUUAAGUUGGGCACUCUGAAAGAACUGCCAGUGAUAAGCUGGAGGAAGGUGGGGAUGACGUCAAGUCCUCAUGGCCCUUACGUGUUGGGCUACACACGUGCUACAAUGGCAUCUACAACAGGAAGCAAAACGGCAACGUUAAGCAAAUCCCGAAAAGAUGCCUCAGUUCGGAUUGCACUCUGCAACUCGAGUGCAUGAAGCUGGAAUUACUAGUAAUCGUGGAUCAGCGUGCCACGGUGAAUGCGUUCCCGGGUCUUGUACACACCGCCCGUCACACCAUGGGAGUUGGUUCUACCUUAAGGCAAGGUUUUAAA